RNAcentral lists this ribosomal RNA (253 nucleotides) under uncultured bacterium. RNAcentral describes it as "partial 16S ribosomal RNA". It matches the Rfam family "Bacterial small subunit ribosomal RNA", at positions 524 to 776 of the family's 1533-position model. The record is from RNAcentral.
UACGUAGGGGGCUAGCGUUGUCCGGAAUCAUUGGGCGUAAAGAGCGCGUAGGCGGCCAGAUAAGUCCGGUGUGAAAGUCACAGGCUCAACCUGUGAAUGCCGCUGGAAACUGUCUGGCUAGAGUCCGGAAGGGGCGAGUGGAAUUCCUGGUGUAGCGGUGAAAUGCGCAGAUAUCAGGAGGAGCACCAAUGGCGAAGGCAGCUCGCUGGGACGGUACUGACGCUGAGGCGCGAAAGCGUGGGGAGCGAACAGG